This 72-nucleotide transfer RNA is filed under the name Camelus bactrianus (Bactrian camel). It matches the Rfam family "tRNA". Rfam says of the family: Transfer RNA (tRNA) molecules are approximately 80 nucleotides in length. Their secondary structure includes four short double-helical elements and three loops (D, anti-codon, and T loops). RNAcentral also lists the same sequence under 2 other names. Lineage: Eukaryota; Metazoa; Chordata; Mammalia; Artiodactyla; Camelidae. The record is from Rfam by way of RNAcentral.
GAGGGUAUAGCUCAGUGGUAAAGCCUGCGCUUAGCAUGUGCGAUGUCCUGGGUUCAAUCCCCAGUACCCCCG